This 253-nucleotide ribosomal RNA is filed under the name uncultured bacterium. RNAcentral describes it as "partial 16S ribosomal RNA". It matches the Rfam family "Bacterial small subunit ribosomal RNA", at positions 524 to 776 of the family's 1533-position model. The record is from RNAcentral.
UACGGUGGGUGCAAGCGUUAUCCGGAAUUACUGGGAUUAAAGGGUGCGUAGGCGGCUUCAUUAGUCAGGGGUGAAAGCCUAUUGCUUAACGAUAGAAUUGCCAUUGAUACUGUAAAGCUUGAAAGGGGUUGAGGUCAGCAGAAUGUGGCAUGUAGCGGUGAAAUGCAUAGUUAUGCCAUAGAACACCGAUUGCGAAGGCAGCUGGCUGGGCCUACUGUGACGAUGACGCACGAAAGCGUGGGGAGCGAACAGG